This 353-nucleotide RNase P RNA is filed under the name Marinobacter lutaoensis. RNAcentral describes it as "Bacterial RNase P class A". It matches the Rfam family "Bacterial RNase P class A". Rfam says of the family: Ribonuclease P (RNase P) is a ubiquitous endoribonuclease, found in archaea, bacteria and eukarya as well as chloroplasts and mitochondria. Its best characterised activity is the generation of mature 5'-ends of tRNAs by cleaving the 5'-leader elements of precursor-tRNAs. The record is from Rfam by way of RNAcentral. Lineage: Bacteria; Pseudomonadati; Pseudomonadota; Gammaproteobacteria; Pseudomonadales; Marinobacteraceae.
CGAGCUCGCCAGACAGUCGCCGCCGGUGGUUUACCGGGGGAGGAAAGUCCGGGCUCCGCAGGGCAAGGUGCCAGGUAACGCCUGGGCGGCGUGAGCCGACGGAAAGUGCAACAGAAAGUAUACCGCCUAAGCGCCCACGGGCGCCGGUAAGGGUGAAAUGGUGCGGUAAGAGCGCACCGCAUGGCUGGUAACAGUCCAUGGCGAUGGUAAACCCCACCUGGAGCAAGACCAAAUAGGAGUCCAAUGGCGUGGCCCGCGCUGGACUCGGGUAGGUUGCUUGAGGCCUGUGGUGACGCAGGUCCUAGAUGAAUGACUGUCCUCGACAGAACCCGGCUUAUCGGCGGGCUCAAUUU